RNAcentral lists this ribosomal RNA (501 nucleotides) under Cytobacillus oceanisediminis. RNAcentral describes it as "bacterial SSU rRNA". It matches the Rfam family "Bacterial small subunit ribosomal RNA", at positions 24 to 508 of the family's 1533-position model. The record is from RNAcentral. Lineage: Bacteria; Bacillati; Bacillota; Bacilli; Caryophanales; Bacillaceae.
UCAGGACGAACGCGGGCGGCGUGCUUAAUACAUGCAAGUCGAGCGGACGGAUGGGAGCUUGCUCCCUGAUGUCAGCGGCGGACGGGUGAGUAACACGUGGGCAACCUGCCUGUAAGACUGGGAUAACUCCGGGAAACCGGGGCUAAUACCGGAUAAUUCUUUCCCUCACAUGAGGGAAAGCUGAAAGAUGGCUUCCGCUAUCACUUACAGAUGGGCCCGCGGCGCAAUAACUAGUUGGUGAGGUAACGGCUCACCAAGGCAACGAUGCGUAACCCACCUGAGAGGGUGAUCGGCCACACUGGGACUGAAACACGGCCCAAACUCCUACGGGAGGCAGCAGUAGGGAAUCUUCCGCAAUGGACGAAAGUCUGACGGAACAACGCCCCGUGAGUGAUGAAGGUUUUCGGAUCGUAAAACUCUGUUGUUAGGGAAGAACAAGUGCCGGAAUAACUGCCGGUACCUUGACGGUACCUAACCAGAAAGCCACGGCUAACUACGUGC